GGGGUUUUUCGAACACGUGUAAGCACAGAAAAUUUUCUAUUUUUUUUCUCUUUUCUCUCUUUUCUUUUCUCUCUGUUCUUUCUUUCUCGACUUCUCUUUUGGCGAUUGAAAGUUGAAACCGUCCUCACGGCAUCUCCUCCGGCUUCUCUGGUCUCCUCCGGCUUCUCUGAUCUCUUCACGGCGUCUCUUUUUCUCCAUUGAGAAUCACAGAAGAGAUUGAGAUGUCAACACCAGCAAGGAAGAGACUUGUGAGGGAUUCCAGGAGGUUGCUGCAAGAUCCUCCUGCUGGUAUCAGUGGUGCUCCUCUAACAACAACAUCUUGCUCUGGAACGCUGUCAUCUUCGGCCCAGAUGAUACGCCUAGGGAUGGAGUUGAACAGAACUUACAGAACCAAUGGAGUCCCAUCUAUGUAUCUCUUUCUUUGUCGACAAAGCCGUUGCUAUCAUGUUGGAUAUGAAGGUUGAUAUCAUAUAAGAUGUUCAACAGAAGUCACAAGGCGUUCAUUCAAAUCAAAAGAAGUCACGAGAUUUGUUGUAUAUAUUUGUUGUAUAUGCAAUUCACGAGUAUUGUCUGUAUGUUAGAUACAUGUUGGUUUUGGUUCUUCUCUCCUUCUCUAUAUAAAGUUGUGAUUCACCAAGCAUUUUAUUCACACAGUCUCAUUAUCUCCUUCUCACCAAACAACUUUCAUUCUUUCUUCUCACCAAACAAGUUUCAUUAUCUCUCUUUGAUCACAAAUAUUAUUCACAAAUGUUUUUUUCAGAUUAUUUUCGAUUAUUGUACUAAUCUUUAUUUUUAUGUUGUUUUUCAAAUCUAUGUUUUAAUGUUAUCUUUUAAUAUGUUUUAUUUAAUAAAUAAAUUUUAUCUUUUAAAAAAAUUAAUAAUUUUUUUCUAAGAACCUUUAACUAAGAAACUCCCAUUGGACCAUUCAAAAUAGAAGUUUCUUAACUUAAAUUCUUAGGUUAAUUUUAUUAAUUAAAAAUUAUUAAGAAACCCAUAAGAGGUGAUAGGGAUAAUCAUGCUCUAAGGAUAUAGGAGAGGUUUUUGAGAGUACUCUUAUAUUAUUCUAAGAGGGAAGAACAAAGCACACACAUUUGCUGUUUGAAGACGUUGGGAUCUGUGUUCUUAUCGAGAAAGACAUUUCUUUAAUUUAUUCACUUCUUUUCAAAAAAUAAUUUAUUUUGGGUUUUAGCCCUACAAAUCCCCACCUUCCACAUAUUAUAUGUUUUUUUGUAAAGCAUCUAUAUACAUUUCAAAGCUAAUACAUUGUUAUGGGUUAUGGCUUGACUAAUGGAUAUGAGUCAUAUGAGAUAUCAGUUCCAAUACAGCUAUCAGUAAAACACACAGAACACUUGUAGGGAGUAUCAUAUUAAAUUUUCCAAAAUAUAUCAAAAUACAUUUUAAAGUUUAUAACUUUUUUUUGUUAGGACAUUCAAACGCACUCUCGAAACAUUUUAUAAAUUGUAUUCCAUUAGGCUUUAACAUUUUUUAUAACUCAUUUCGAAACACACAAAAAGUUAAAUAUUGAAAUGAAUCGUUUUACUUAUGGUGAACAUACAUAAUACAUAUCAUUUUUUUAUCAAAACAUAAUACAUAUCAUAUUAUUUAUUUUUUGAACAUUACAUAUUAUAUUAUUGGGAAAAAGAAAUACGAAUACAAACCUAUAAACAGACAAAAGGUUAAAGAAAAGUCCAAAAUUUCUCUUCAGCGACCGUAGAAAUUACGACGAAAAUUUUGGUCACGGCUCUAAAUGACCCGACAUAUAUAACUCUGGAUCAUUUGAGCUGCAUCUUUUUAUAUCGUUAUCUUCCAAAAUCCUCAAACCAAGUGGGUCGCUACUCGUAUUUAUAUUUGAUUUUGUAAAACAUGAGACAAUAAUAUGUGUACACAAUGCUGUCUCUAUAUAUGUGACAUGUUUGUAUAUUCAGCAACAAAUUAUAUUAAGAGUUUAAUAACAUGUUGAGUUUUUUUUUUUUUUUGAUCAAAUAACAUGUUGAGUUAAGGAGAUUUUUUUGGAAAAGGACGAACUAGAUCCCAAUGCACGAAACGAAUAAAUUGUUUUCCAAUAAUAUGUAACUAGAAAGAAAUCAGUUGGUUAGAACUUAGAACAUUUUUCAUAGAUUAUAAUUUUUGGAAAACUAAGUUAUAUACGUACGUAAUGUGCAUGUGUGUGUGUAUACAUGUUACGAGUUUGAUUUUUAGGUGUACAGUGAGAACUCUAACUAGAUCUCUAUAAAGUCUUACGUACAGUAAACCUCAAACAUACGUAGGCCCUAUGAUCUCUGCCACGACCAGCUGUAACGUAGGAUAAGACACCUAUACGGCGCCGUUUUGCUGAAGAACCACCCAUCCAUCUUUAAUCACUUUGACUUAUUAUGCAUCAGAGCUUUCCAAUUUUAAAAUGGAAAUAGUUUAGUCAAUAUUGAUCAAUAUUUUGUGUUGCCGUCGGAAUAUACAAAAAAUAGUAGCCAAAUUUUUGAACAAAACAUAAAUUUGUGUAUGGAAUCGUUUUAGACGUUUUUUUUUUAAUCGUUUUAGACGUUGGUAUAUAUUUGGUUUCGUUUUUCCAUUCUUAAUUUCUUAUUGUAACUAACGCAUUUUUUGUCUUUUAAUUCCGAUUAUCUUUAUCAUCUUUCAUUAAACCUAAACUAUAAGUCUAUAACUAAGUUCGGUCACUGUACUAAUUUCAUAACUCUGCUUAUAUCGAAGCAGUUUGGUUUAUCAUUGUUAAACCUUAUAUUUUUAUACUUUUACAUUACUUUAUUAAUCUUUCAUAAGAGUAUUUCCCAGUAAUCUAAAAUUUUAAGAAAGAAAAAAAAAUUAUGCUUAUACCUUACCACUAGAAGUCUAGAAACAUUUUCUUUCUGUUGGAUAAUUUUCCUUUAAACGUAUUGUCGUCGGUCAAAUACCUGCAGCAUGCAGCAGAGGGAAUUCAAAUGAGAAUUAUAUACAACAAUUAUUAUUUCUCGACUUAGAACCGCCAUUUUUAAUGACAUAAGAGCAAACCCUAAUGGGGUUUUUCAACCAAAGGUUUUAAAAAUACAUAUAUAUGUAUUUUAAAAAGCUCAUGCUAAUAAAUCCCCAUUGGGUUUGCUCUAGCAGUCUUGAUCGAUACAGAUUUUUGUUUAUUAAAAUAAAAUAUUUGGUUAACUGAUAUUUUUUACGUUAAGACAUGUAAUAAUUUACCCCUAUCAGAUUUUAUUUAUUUAAAUGUUCUCAGUUUCUUCUGUGUUAAAAAGAUUUCUCUGAUUAAACACUUUUGAUCAAAGUUAAUAUUUGCCUAAUGAUGGAUUAAGCGGUGGUAACCUUUAAUGGACAAAAACUUUUAUUUUAAUGAUUAAAGCAUUAAAAUUAAUUAUCUUUUAAAUGAAUAUAUUAAAGGGACAAAUAAACUUUAUAUUACAUACGAUCAACUAUAAAUAUGAAUCAACUAAAAAUGAAAUCAACAUAACCUUAGAAUAAGAUAAGAGAUAUCAGGUAAAGUUAAGGAAGAAUAAUUAUUGAUAAGAUGUUUACCAAACAAUAGUAUCAUUAAAUAAUAGAACCGGAAAAGCAAUAAUUUGAGAUUACAAAAGAAAUUACGUAAGAUAAUUUUUUUUUUUUGCAUGAAAGUGAUUACAAGAGACAGAUUUUCUAGUGUGGAUGAUUUUGUUGGAAGGAAAAAAGGUAGUGGGAGCAGUUGUUUUGGAGGGAAAUCAUAUGCACGUAGAGGUCCCUCGUUCCUUCCUUUGGUUUUGGUAAUGAUUAACAAUUCCACCAAACAUCAAAAUUAAUAGUGGCUUUAUAUCCAAUUAGUUUUAGUUUUAUUGGGUCCGACUGGUAUUUUUAUGUCUUUUUCAUGAUACUUGUCUUUAUUUUUCCUUGAAUCGUAAAUGAAUUUCGAAAGUUAUAAUCAAGCCACAGAUAGCUGACAAAGAAAUAAUCAAACGACGAGAUAAACAAAAUGUCAACAUCCUCCCAAUUCGCGACUGAGAAGGCAAACGGAAAACGCCACAUGAGAUCUCUCACCAUUUACUUAUUUUCUGUUACCAGGCGAAGCAGCUGUAGAUCUUCGAGACAGAGACGACUCUUUGGCCUUAUGGUGACUUUUGAAUGACUAUUGUACCCGUGAAAUAUUCAUAGUCAUUGGUUUCGAUUAUAAAUUAAAUAGUCAUUGCAGAUUUAUAAGGCCUUAAUGAAAUGUAAUGAAAUGUGGAAGUAUAUUUAGAUAGAUACUAAGACAUACAGUUAGGCUAGAACUUAAAAUUUGGAAGAAUCUAAUGAAUACAUAUACUUUAAUUUUAUUAAUCUUAGUAGUGACGAAAAAAUAUAAACUUUGUAAUAUACUAGUAUAUAUUGUUUCAAAUUGGACGUUGUUUAUGAUUUUUUCACGCAGAUUAAUUUUUAUCUUUUUUUAUAAUUUUAAUAAUUUAUUUAAUUUAAUUAAGGAUAAAAUAGAUAAAUUAAUGUAAAAUUUGCAAUGACACUAAUUUGUUAAAAAAGGUUUUAUUAUACAACAAAAUUUAAUUAAAGAAAAAAUAUAUAACUAAAGAUGUCAUUAGAUUUCUUCAAACAUCUUAAGUUAUAGUUACAUUGAGAUUUGCACCUUAUGUUCAAGUAAGAAAUACACCAGAAUAUAGGUGUGAUUGGUAAUUUCAAGAUUUAAAAGAGGAUUGUAAAAAGAGAAAAUGAGAGAAAAAAUGUGAAAAAGGAAAAAAUAUUGUUACCCUCCUCACAUCUAGAAUAAUAAUGAAAGUGUAUUUUUCUCAAAUUAAACAGUAACUAAGAGAAAAUAUAAUUCCAAUUUAUUGAGAAUUUUAUGGAGUAAACUAGAUUUUAAAGGGCAGAAUUUUUUCAAUUUAAAAUCUAAUUUGAAUUUUUAAAUAAAUAAUAUAUUGUUGUAAGUAUUAUAAGUUUCAUUUUUAUUUUUUAUACCAACAAAUCAACUAUUGUUUGGCUUUUUAAUUGUACAAUAAAUUAUUUUAAUUAUAUUUGAGCUUGUGAAUUAAUUUUAAAUUAUUAAAACCAUAUUUUGAUUAGUUAAUUAAAUGGGCUGACCUGUGUUUCUUACCAUUUAUAUAUAUUUCAUAUAUAAAUAUGUGAUUGUUACCAUCUAGCUAAAAUUGUUAUCAUUUAGUUUAUUGAUUGUUACUAUUAAUACCUAUAACAAGAUACUAUUAUUUAUUUAUUGAAAGGUUUUAUAACAAUAUAAUGUAUGUUUUUAAACAAAUGUUUUAUAAUGAUGUAUUGUUACCAUAUAAACAUUAAUAUCUUAUUAAAAAUUGUAAAACAUUAAAGUUGGCCCAAAGUGAUUAAAUAUGAAAAAUGGUUGUUAAAAAUUCCAGAUGGAUCUUCUUGUAGUAAAUAAAGAGGACCGUGUGAGAUCCAGUUUUGUUAUAGUUAUGCUUUUCUAAAUUUUUCAGAGUAUUACGAUAUUACCGAACCAGUAAUUUAUGUACCGUGUAAUUAUCAAUGAUGUAUACUUUGAAGUCCUAAAUGCUACAGUAGAAAUAUAUAGUAAUUCAGUUGAAAUAAUUUUUUUUGUCAACGAAAUAAUUAAAUUUAUUAACCAUAAAUAUAAAAAUGACAUAGAAUUGUAAAUAAGUUUAAAAUGCAUGAGCAUAAUUCUAUUACAAGUUUUACUUUAAUAGUAUAGAUGAUAUAAAUAAUUUUUUCACUUACUUUGCUUACUCUGUUAAUGCUGUACAAUCUAAUUCUUUUUUUUUUUACUUAGAUAGUAAUUCAUAUUUUUCACUUAACAUCACCAAUCGCUUAAAACAAAUUUAUACAUGUUAAUUCCCUCAGAAUCACGACAUUUGCUUAAAUAAUUACAGCCACACAAAUCCACGAAUAACAUUCUGGUCCAGCUUUUUGGGUAUGGAUUUGAAUAAAACUAGCUCUAUCUAAGAAUCUACAAUCAAGUGCAACAUAUAGAACUAUCCAUAAAAGCAGAAACAUUUGGUUGGUUAUGUCAUCUAUAUUAAUGUUAUAACCCAUUUAAAUGGAUAAUUUCAAUUAAAAAGUAUAUAUCGUAUCUCAUAUGAACACAUGUACAAAAAAGUUGCUCGCAGGGAUCAAUGUUUAAGCUUUUAGAAAUUAGGACCACUGUUAUUUACAUAAUUACCCGAACAAGACAGAAAUGCAGGAGAUUUUGCAUGUAUGGUGAAAGAGAAAGGAGAAACACAAUAAUAGACAAAUCAUUAAAAUCAAGAUAAAUAAUUAAAUUAAAUCUUACAUACAUCUAACACUAUUAAAAAAAGGAGAAUAAGAAACCUCCUAAACUACGCCACCUCAGCAAAAAAUUCACAACCUAUCAAAUUGCCAUGUCAUCAUAAAUAACAAAAAAAAUUCAUGUCAUCACAAAUAACAAAAAAAAAAUUCUUUUACGUCAAUUUAUUAUUUUGCGAUCUAUCUUUUCGUUUUCUUCCUCAAAUCAAUUUAUCCCUUUAAUAUUCAUCUUCUCAAUCCUAGGCGGAUCUGAUUCCGAUCUAUGUUUCUCUGUUACUUGAUUCGAUUACUCUGUUACUAUGUUCUUUGUUACUGUUACUUGCUUUGUCUCAUCGAUCAUUAACGAUCGUGAGCGGGAAGAUCAAGGGGAUUCAGAUUCGUGACCUUCAAGGAUGAGAAAUCGAUGAGGGAUGCUAUUGAUGAGAUGAACGGAAAGGAGCUCAACGGACGUACCAUCACCGUCAACGAGUCUCAGUCUAGAGGAAGCGGCGGUGGAGGAGGCCGUGGUGGAGGUGAAUACGGUGGCCGUGGAGGUGGCGGUAUGACACUUUUAGCUUUUCCGAUUUAUUAACGGUUGAUUCAUAUAUAAGAUUGAACGAUGGCCAAAUUAGAUUCUCACUUUCUCUCGCUAUUAGAUUUCUGGAUUAUGAUCGUAUUGGUUUCAACCCCCAAAAUCAAUGCGUGGAAGGAUUCAUAUUUGUUAUCCUCAUGUAAUUUUAAGUUAGUUCUCUCAUUAUUGUAUCUUUUCGCAUGAACAUUGUAAUUGAAAGUGAGUAUGUAUGUCUUUUUUGUAGAUUGUGGAUCUCUGGAUCAACAUGGGUUUUGCAAGGGACAAAAUCUGGGUAAUCGAUGACAAUCUAACUUUACGAGUUCUUAAAAUCAUCAUUAGUUGAUCUUCAUCUCAAACCAUCAGAAGAGGACUUAAAGCAAUGGUCUGACAGGUAAAAGUAAAACCAUCAUCAUCCUUUUAUGUUCUUUAUCUUUAUAGAUUCUGAAUUUUAUAUGUGUGUUUCCUUUUUGAGUUAUGGGUUUCACUUGCUAUAGAUGGCCACUCAACAUUGAUUUCUUUAGAACAUCAAUGGAAAACCCUUCAGAUUCUUAUUUGCAUAUAUCAAACUUACCUUGCUGUCUUAGAUAUAAGGUUGUUUGUACUCUUUAUAAAAUAUAUAUUAUCAGCAAAAUAUUCUGUGUUUAAUGAAUAUUCUACGUGAAACUUCAGAUUUAUUAUUUACUCAAGUAACUUCAUCUGUUAGGGUUUUUUUUAACAAUAAGUCCUCAGGCAGAAGACACAAUAUAUAUAUAUAUUCACUUUGUAGUGUGAUGUAAUACAGUCUCUUGCAUCAUCAAAAUCUAAUAAAAUUUGAAGAUUUACAAUUUUUGUAUUGAUGAUCUACUCACUAACAAAAUUUGUAUUUGCUUAUUUCUUUCGGGUUUAUGAGUCACACCGGUGAAGUGUGAGAAGAGUUUGGAUGGUCGUUGUCGUCCUCCACAGAGGUUUUGGUAGAAGAGAUGAGGACAGCGGAGCGACAGAGAGGGCAAGUGGUGUGAGAACAGAGCCAAAGGUGAAUACAAUCAAAAUGAAAUAUGUGUUUGCAUGAAGGCAUUUCCACCAACUCUUCCUUUAACUCAAAUUCUCACAAACAUACGCAACAUCUGCACCAAUUUUUCAUUAAAUUAGUCAAACUUUAGAUUUACCAAAACAAGCAACAACCAAAGAUAAUAUUAAACACAAAGACAUGAAACU
Molecule: long non-coding RNA, 7948 nt
Organism: Brassica napus (rape)
Lineage: Eukaryota; Viridiplantae; Streptophyta; Magnoliopsida; Brassicales; Brassicaceae
Exons: 5
Source: RefSeq, a predicted model, not a curated record